Molecule: long non-coding RNA, 767 nt
Filed under: Triticum aestivum (bread wheat)
Lineage: Eukaryota; Viridiplantae; Streptophyta; Magnoliopsida; Poales; Poaceae
Description: long non-coding RNA (TAES_LNC028191)
Source: RNAcentral
UGCCACUGCUUGUUUACUAGUGAUGCUUGUGUUGUUCGGAAGCACUACAUCUGGAGGUAUGUUCUCUCUUUUGUUGUUUAUGUAGAGUUCCUAGGGCAUAUAUUAUUGCAAGAAAGAACAUUGAAAAAUAUAAAUAAGAUUUCAAGAUCGUAUCAUCAAGAGUUUUCUCAAAUAGUAUGUUGAUGCACAUUUUGCGUAUGUCAUUUACGAUUUGGAGAUCAUACUACUUUUAUGUAGCCUUGUAAGAAACAUGUCAUUACAAUCAAUGGCUCGCCUUUAUGAUAUACUUUUAUGUACGCAGAGAAAUGCGCGGUGGUUCAAUUUCCUCUCGUGAUCUGCAACAAUCUAGCAUGCAAGCAUGAAUGUUUGUUUUGGGGCCAAGGCAAGAAGGUUCGCGGAUUCUGGUGCAAUCGGAUGCUCCCUGCAACUGCAAUAUUUGCUGGGCGAAUUAACUUAAUUGAUAUGGUAAACACAAUUAAUGUUAUCAAUAAAGAAUUCAUAACUUUUUAUCCCUGAUCAUCCAUUUAUGCAUGGGAUUGUAUUCUUGCGGGGGCACCAUGGGAAGCAGAAUCUUAAUCUAUAUUGCAUCAUGGACAAACUUCCUAAAGAUGAAUAUCAUAUAGUUGUGAACAAAUAUAGCGAACGAAACUGAUAUGUACAUUAGUUCUAUUUAGCAAGCAGACUUCUGUAUUGAAAAAAAAUUAAAAAAAAUUCGCCCUCGUUUGGGAAGAGGAAGUCAUCAUCUAGUGUGUCGCCUGCAAAUGUGG